GUCCGCGCGCUCAGCAGCGCCUCGCGCUCUCUGCUAUGAGGGGACCGUCUCUUCUUUGGGCUGUUUUUCUGUGUUUCUUCCGGCGUCAGCACUGAAGAGAAACCGCUCUCAAGCCCAUGUGACGUAUACUGCUCCUUAUGUGACGAGGCUACACUACCGACGGUCCAGUGCUACUCUGAAUUCCUUAAAAUCUGCAGACUGAAUUUACAGAAUGAGCUGGAUAAUGUCAACUCCACCGACUUGUGCGUGUGGGAUAAAGUGAAAAGGUUAGUGGUGUUUCUGUGAAAGAUCACAUGGGAAUUUUUGCACGUAGGAAACCCCGGAUGAAAAGGCAGAAAUUCUGUUUUUUUUUUGUGUAUAAAAAAGUGUAUAAAAAAAUUUCUGGACUAUUUUCCGGGCAUCAUUCAGUUGGAAACCAUAACUUCUUGUAGUGUUACCUGGGUCCUUUGAAAUUUGGUGCUUUAAGUUCUAGCAAUGCUGCAAAAUUUCAAAUAAAACAAAAAUGGCUGAAAAAAAAGUUCAAAUGCUGAAAAUUCCAACAAGAAAAGUUUUCAUUCGGCAUCCGAAAAAUUCUAGUAAUGCGUCAUAAUUCUGACUACGAAAAUAGCAGAAACGUGAAAAUCAUUCAAAAAAAUGUCAAUAGUUGAAAUUUCUAGUGAUGCUCCGUAAUUUGGAAUACCAAAAUAGCAGAAAACGUUAAAAUUGUAAAAACAUUUCAACAAGAAAAGUUUAGUUUUGUGCAGUAAUGACCCAACCCCCCCCCCCCCCCCCCCCACCCCCCCAAAAAAAAAAAAAAAAACCCUCAGAAAUUUCAAUAAUAUUAUUAUUAUUUCUCUCUCUUUUUAAAUUACCCCCCCCC
Long non-coding RNA from Ictalurus punctatus (channel catfish), 859 nucleotides. The record is from Ensembl. NCBI's taxonomy places the organism in Eukaryota, Metazoa, Chordata, Actinopteri, Siluriformes, Ictaluridae.